This is a long non-coding RNA of Malaclemys terrapin pileata, 7410 nucleotides long. RefSeq lists it as uncharacterized. The transcript is spliced from 3 exons. Lineage: Eukaryota; Metazoa; Chordata; Testudines; Emydidae. The record is from RefSeq and is a predicted model, not a curated record.
UCAUGGGACCUUCCAGACUUUUGAGAACUACAUUUUCCUCGAACCACCUAGAAUGUUGUUAGCCAUUUCCUCAAGGGUAUAUAAGGGGCAGGACAUCACCAGUCAGUCAGUGAGAUAUAAGAACGAACUGAAGGGCCACUUCUUCUCUGAGUAAUCCCCACUCCAAUCCUACAUCUCCUGAGAAUUCCUACUAUGAAGGUGAAUCAUGCUGGAAGGAACAGACUUGGAACUGCUGCUGAUUCCCCCUAUAAACACUUAAAAGAAAUCCCCACUGAAUAUACUAGCAACUAGUGGCAAUCCUCAAGAGGAGGACUGAGGAGGAGGACUCAUGUGAAAUGUGACUGACACACUGCUCUUCCAAAUGGAACAUCCAUUCUGAUCUGGACUUGGUAUGGACAAAAUAAUACUUUGCAAAUGUAUGAUCUGAGCACCAAGUAGCAGCCAGCAGAUCUCAGUGAACAAAUGCUGCAGAAGCUGCCACUUUCGCCCAAAUCCCAAUAGUAGAAGAGGUUUGAGUCAAAGGUACAGUUACUUCAUCAAGAUCAUAUCCUGUCUUGAUCCAUUCAGAUCGCAUCUGGACUAAAACUGAUUGGCCCUUACCUCUUCCACCAAAAGCCCCAAACCAUUUUGAGGCCUUUUUAAAAGGCUUUGUCCUAUUGAGGAAUUAACAGAGAGCCCUUUUAAUAUGCAAGGUGUACAGAUUAAGGUGGAUUGCAAAAUCAGGAGGCUUAGAAAAUACUGGUCAAAAAGGUCUGAUUUAAAUGAAAAUCCAUGGCCUCUAUAGUCAAGAUUCUGGGAUGAGAUCUUAAGAGUACUUCAUCCUUGUGAAAAUGUGUAUAAGGAGGAUCUGCAACAAAGCCCACAGUUCUGAAAUGCUCCUCAGAGAUGCUCUAGUCACAAGGGAAAAAAACCUUCAAUGACAGAAGUAGAAGUCAAGAACAUCAAGAGGAGCCUCCAUGAACCUUGUAAGAACCAAGCUUUCAAUCCCUUGGAUCACCGGGUUUUAGCUUUGAAUAUACAUUCAAACCCUUAAUAUACUGUUUGUAUGACAAAAGACCAAACUGCUUUGUUUUGCCCAUGUACAUGCAAAGUAUCAUCUGGUUGGAUCCCAGGGUGAUCCUAAAUCGGUGAAAGACAAAGAAAAUUCUAAAAUGGCUGUAAAAGGACAAGAGACUGGAGUCAUCUCGAAGUUCUCCAGACCAAAUCUUUUAACCAUUUCCAUUUACAGACAUGUGACUAUCUGGUGGAAUAUUUUUGUGAUUCCACAAGCACAGCAGCAACUUUCACUGAGAAAUAGAAGUAUUCCCUUUUUAAUAAGCUAUCAACCAAGCGAUCAGAUAAAGAGAUUUCUAGUCUGGGUGAAGCAUCUGACCUUUCUGCUGGGGCAAGAGAUCUGGGCACAGGCAAAGACAAAGGAUUCAUCAUCAUGCAAGAACAAGGGGACACCCAAUGGAAUUAAAAGGCAUCCAUUUUAAAUGAUAAAAGGAAAUACUUUUAUUAUCUAAUGAUAAUUAAGCUUGGGAACUUACUGUCACAAGAUGUUACUGAGGUAUAGAUUUUAGUAGGGUUUUAAAAAAGAUUAGGCAUUUCUAUAAAUAUUAAGGAUAUCCAAGUUACAUUAGAUAGGAUAAAAGCAAUCAGAAGGCAUAUGAAGACUCAUGCUUCAAGUACUAACUGUCUGAAAUUAGGAAGAAAUCCGCAUAAGCAUGUUAUUGCAUAAUUUUCUAUUAUGAGGUUCUAUGUCAUCCUCUGAAGCAUCUAGGAUUGAUCACUAUCAAAGAGAAGAUACUGAACUAGGUGGCCUAUUGAUCUGAUCCAACAUCACAAUUCCUAUUUUCCUAUGCCACUGAAUUCAACACAAGGCACUUCAGUAGAUUUUUUUGCUAGCAAGAUGGCCACUACUAAUAAUACAACUCAAAAUUGCAUUUUAUAAAUAAAUGAAAAGAUAUUUCCAAGUUAAUUUCAAAGUUGAUUUGUGAUAUUCCUUAUCUUUUUUGAACUUUCAAACUACUGCACUAAAAACUGCUAAAGAUUUGGGUGACGUUCACUCAGGGGUGAAAGUAAGCCAGUAUGGACCGGUACAGCAUACCAGUAAAAAGUGGCUGCCAGUACUGUCCCGUACUCAGCUGAUGGCAGCGCUUUAACAUCGUUGCCCCCUUUGCCCCCUGGGCCGCUGACCGGAAGGGCAGGGGGGAGGGGACAAAAGGAGCAGCUGUCCCGGGGCCGCGAUUUAACAGGGCCUGGGGCUCCAACCACUGCUGCCUCUACCACAGCAGCGGCCAGAGUCCCGGGCCCUUUAAAUCACCGCUGGAGCCCCGGGUGGCGCGAGCCAGGCAGUGUGGAUGGGCUGGCUGGGGGAUGCUGAUCCUCAGCCCUGCCCCUUCUGCCUGAGGCCCCGCCCUUUCCGGGGACGGAGCUGGCCCCCAUACCAGUAAGUGCUUAAUGUUACUUUCACCCCUGCAUCCACUGGUUCUUCUCCCUAACUGGGUGUAUCAAAAUAGCAUCCAAUCAGCAGAGGGAGCACACAUAAUAGGAACAAACCAUUGCUAAGUGUGAGAUGCAGUGAAGUGGUGAAGAGAAAACAAAAAGAUCUGUCUAGGAGCAGCUGAUUCACCACAGCCAGAUAGAAUUUAAAAUCUGACACUAGAGAAGAGAAAUAAAAUCCACAAAAAUAAACUAAGUACUUGGCUGACAGAGAGCCAGGGGUGGAGUAGGGUAGAGUUGCCCAAAGAGGGGAAGUUAAAAGUUAAGGGUCAAACCCAGCCAACAAUAAGAUGUCCUCAGGGCGUGUCUACAACUCAGAAAGCUAUGGAAAGGUAAAUCCCAAUCUCUCCAACUCAGCUUGGGAUAGCCAAGGAGCUGCUCAAGAAGGAGAGCUCAUGUGUAUCUGUGUCACACACUGAGGUGUAGGCAGUGUGACCUAGUGGUCAGAGCAGGAGUCUGACCUAGUGGUCAGAGCAGAAUCACAGUCAUGGUCAGGAGACAAACCAAUGGUUGGAGUCAGGAGCUGGAACAGAACCAAAGAGCAAAGCUGGAGUUGCAAUUAAGAGACGAGCUGAGCUCAUUUGGUUGCUAGGCGAAUAAGCCUGGAGGCAGCUGAGUUCCUGAUAAUACCCCCUCCCCAAGGGCUCCUCCUAGGGACCCUUGGUCCUGGCUUGUGAGAAUAUCUUUGGUGACAUUCCCAUAGGAGAUAGGAGCGUAAACAUUUUCUUCUGGUGCCCAGGACCUCUCUUCUCACCUGUACCCCUUCCAGUGUGUCAGAUGCUGGAGCUUCCCCCAGAGCCUUUUGAGUUGAGGACCUGAUGGACUUUUAUUCCUCCUGUCCAUGGACAAUUAAAGAGGGUGGAGAAGUGUUUACCCAGUCAGGGAAGGGGUUGUUGAUGAACUGUUUAAGGAGAGAAACAUAGAAGUCAGGGUGAAUCUUGAGGGAUUCUGGCAGUUGAAACUUUAAGGUCACUGAGUUUAUUUGUUCAAUAUUCUGAAAAGGACUCAGGUACUAGUGGACAAGCAUGGCCAAAAGAUGGCCCAUUCUCAGGUUUUGAGUCAAGAGUCUAUCCCCUACUCCAAGGUUAGGGAUGGCUUGUCACCUUCAGUCGGCUUAUAUGUUUCUUUAGUGGCAAGUAAGUGCUCCUUGAGUCCCUGGUGUGUUUGCUGGAGGUAGUCGACUAAGUCUGUAGCCACUGGAACAGUGGAGCCUUUGGGCAGAUCUGGAUGGAAUUGGGGAUGAAAACCAAAAUUUGUGAAGAAUGGGGUCUGUUGAGUUGAAGCAUGUGUUGAGUAGUUGUAUGUGAACUCAGCGAAACAGAGCAAUGGAAGCCAAUCAUCAUAUGGGAAUCCAGGAAACAGCAGAGGUACUGCUCCAGGAUCUGAAUUACUUUCAGUUUGGCCAAUUGCCUGCGGAUGGUAGGCUAUCGAGGUGAGGGGCUUGGUGCCAAGAAAGGCAGAGAAAUUCCUGCCAGAACCAAGAAAUGAACUGAGGGUAUCGAACCAAAAUGAUGCAUGGUAGCAGAAGAUAUGUUCAAGGAAGGCUUGCACAGUUCCAUGGGCAGACGGAACACUGUGGCAGGGAAUAAAAUGGGCCAUCUUGGCUAGGAGGUCAGGAUAACUGAGUGUCCUUGGGAGCAUGGUUACUCAACAGUAAAGUCCAUUGAGAGGAUGGAGAAAGGACAUGGAGGUGUGUGAGGGUGCUGAAGGAGGCUCACAGGCUUGGCUCGCAGUUUUUUCAUAUGGGCACAGAGGUCACAAGACCUAAUAUAGAUUUAAAUACUAGUUUGUAGGGUUUGCCACCAGAAGUACAUAUUGAUCAGGUUCCAGAUUGCAAACUGGCUGGGCAAAUCAUGGCAUAACCAUAGCACCUGAAGCCAGGAGCUGCCCUUGGGAAUGUAGAGACAAUCCCUGUGAAAAAGGAGGCCUUGUUGUAGAUGAAAACUUGAAUCCAAGGAAGCACUGCUGGUUCUUAGGAUUUGGUAGAUUGGGGCUUCAAAUAGGUCACAGCCUCAUUCCAGUGGGUGUCUGUGGCCAGCCAUUAAAAUUCUGCUGAAUAUUUGGCAUUGGACCUGGCAACCUGCCAGAUGGCAUAGAGACUAGCAUCUGCGGUACAUUCUUGAUUAGGGUUGUUGAAGAUGCCCACCACUGUCUGUACAAAGCUCUUGAAGUGUUCAAGGAGAGAACUGGACCCUUCCAGGAUCAGGAACGCCCACUUCAGGGCUUCUCUGGUGAAAAUGCUAAAUAUUAAUCCCACUUGGGACUGAUCUGUGGGAUAUGACUGUGGCACUGACACAAACUGGAAACAACACUGGUUAAGGAACCCAUAAAACUUGGCAUAAUCCACAUUGAACUUAUAGAGUAGGGGCAACUUGGGCUCCGGGACAAUGGAUAAGAGAGCUGGGGGGACAAAAGAGAGUGCCUGGAUUUGUAUUGGACUUGGAGAACCAUAGUGAGGCAACAUUAGCCUGCAGUUUCGCAGGACCUCAACAACAUCUGAGAAGGUGGGUUGAGCUCCUGCUCUGACCAUUCUGGAGGGGAGUCUGGCCUAGUGCUCAAAGCAGAAUCAGAGGGCAGAACCAGAGUCGUGGUCAUGAGACAAGCCAAUGGUCAGAGCCAGGAAUCAGGAGCCAGAACAGAACCAAAGGGCAGAGCUGAAGUCCUGGUCAGGAGACAAGCCAGUGGUCAGAGCCAGGAGUCAGAAAUCAGUUCAGAGGUAGGCAAGGACUAGGUCUGGAACAGAGCAGGCAAGGGUUGGAGUAAGGGCCGGGCAGGAAACAGGUAUGGCAGAUCUGCGGCUGCAGAAUGCAUUGAGCAGCCACUGUGCUGCUAUUGCUACAACACUUAAAUGGUGAUCUGUUGGCUCUUCUGACCAAUCAGAGAGCACAGUCACUUAGUGAGGGUUUAUUGGGCACAGACGAGCUCAUUUGUUUGCUAGGUGGCCAAGCCCAAAGGCAGCUGAGUUCCUGACAAAUUGAGCUCUCUGUCUCCAACAUGACACUCACCCUGUGCUGGACUGUUCCCCCAUUGACACUAUCGAAUUUGUGAGUUCCGACUGUCCUAGACCUCAAUUUGUUCAACUUGCAUUUCUCCGUGGUGGGGUAGGAAAAACAGGAGAAAGACCUGAUCACCAUCAGAUGGCAGCAGGCCCAGCCCUAGGUGUUUUGGUUUACUAGAAUGGAAAACUUUUUUAGUGCCCUCAAAACCUUAUUUGGUACUCCCAGAAGUUGGCUGCCCUGAUCACCUGCGCCCAAGGCUGGCCCUGGAUGGCAGGGAGGAGUACGGCAGGAAAUAAACUAUUUCCCAGUGACUCUGCUGCUGGCAGUGCGGAGAGGAAUACUCACACACUUCUGAGAGGAAGAGCUCGCCUCAUAAUUUCAAGCUUUUAUGGGAAAGGUGAUCACAGUCUUAAGAACUGGACGCCAGCUUCUGGGCUGACAACUCAAUUUCUGAGCCACUAGCAAGGGAAGAGGUGCUUUGGGCUGUGGCCCAUUUUGAAUUUCUUUCUAUCUAACAUUGGAAAAGCUGCCCCAUAUAUUAGUGCAUGAGGAGGGAUGACAUUAUUCUUGUGACCCUUAUGGCCAUUGGGAUGGGUAGCAUGGCAUCUGAUUGCUCUCCUGGUAGGGAGUUAUGAUGUGUGACCAUAGCUAAAUAAAUUUGCAUUCCUCAGUCAUGACCAAAGGAUAAUGAGGAAAGUGCCAUCUCAGGAGUGCAAGUAGCCUCUGCAGGUGCUGGAUAUCUGCAGCUCCCUUGGCUUCUCAGUCCACUAGCUGAAGAGGAAAAUUUUUGCUGGCUAUGUCACCAUAUUUUGCCAAAGACAGAAUUUUGAUUCUACAUUUUGAUGGUGCAAGCAACCCAGGGAAUUUUAUGAUGAACAAAUACUACCUUUGUAAAUGUUAGCUGUGGUCAUUGUUGACAUCACAAGUGGCCUUGCUCUUAUGGUUACAACAAUGUCAUUAGAACUCCUUGAAGUACAUAUAAGCUGUGUCAAUUAUCUGGGUAGCCUCCUCUAUAUAAAACACAAAUACUUUUCCAAGUAUAGAUCUAUAAAUAUGUAUAAUUGAUUUUAUCAUGUGUCAUGCACAUAAACUAUAUGAAUAAAGCCACAUGACUCUGUAAAGCUAACUUUUACUGAAAAUUUAACAAAGCAAGUUAUUUUUAGUACAUGCAGAUCAUAAGUGGACAUUUUACAGAAAAAGUUAGUUGUACUUUCUGGUAGUAAUUACCUCCCACAAAUAUGACUCACUUCUGCAGUUUAAAUGCAAUGGUUUGGUAUCCCAAAAUCAACAGUUUUAUAAAUAAAUCUCUGAAUCACAGACUGAAUGCCUGAAGUGUUUAAAUAUUUCUUACUGGUCUGGGAAGAGUUUUCUGUUUAGGCUUUUACUUCAUAACAAAUUCCCAGGGAACAGUACUGAUACUUAAAAUAGGUAAACAUAGAUAAAAUAGGUAGGCUGCAGUGAGAUUUAUAUAAGGAUCAUGUAACUAAGUUUUCUGACUCUUUUAUCGUUCUGUUAACAUCAGCCAGGACUUCAAAGUUGGAUGUGAAUAGGACCUAAGAUGGAAUUAAUUUUCCUGUUUCACUGCAUCCAUUUUGUAAAAAUUAUAUUUGAAUCUGAGACUUUUUUUUGAGGUAUGGCAGAACAAAUGGAGUUGUGUGGGACCAUUCAGGAAUCUCAUGGGGAGGCAGGCAGAUCACUUCAGUAAAUAAAUGCUGACUGUAUCAGUUAAGAAUGUUAACGAAAGAACAGGCCUCUCCAGAAGAAGCCAACUGACUAUACUUUUAAAAUGCUAAAGAAAAAAAAGUCCUCCUUUGGACUUCAAAUAACUGAAUUCUAACUAUCUAACAUAAAAAUGACAAUACUAUCUUUUUUAUAUAAGAUAUCAAUAGAGUCUGACACCAUCCACAGAUCUAAGGUUGAUAGUUUU